GAUGAACGCUGGCGGCGUGCCUAAUACAUGCAAGUCGAGCGAACAGACGAGGAGCUUGCUCCUCUGACGUUAGCGGCGGACGGGUGAGUAACACGUGGAUAACCUACCUAUAAGACUGGGAUAACUUCGGGAAACCGGAGCUAAUACCGGAUAAUAUAUUGAACCGCAUGGUUCAAUAGUUAAAGACGGUUUUGCUGUCUCUUAUAGAUGGAUCCGCGCCGCAUUAGCUAGUUGGUAAGGUAACGGCUUACCAAGGCAACGAUGCGUAGCCGACCUGAGAGGGUGAUCGGCCACACUGGAACUGAGACACGGUCCAGACUCCUACGGGAGGCAGCAGUAGGGAAUCUUCCGCAAUGGGCGAAAGCCUGACGGAGCAACGCCGCGUGAAUGAUGAAGGUCUUCGGAUCGUAAAACUCUGUUAUUAGGGAAGAACAAAUGUGUAAGUAACUAUGCACGUCUUGACGGUACCUAAUCAGAAAGCCACGGCUAACUACGUG
Molecule: ribosomal RNA, 497 nt
Filed under: uncultured bacterium
Lineage: Bacteria
Description: partial 16S ribosomal RNA
Rfam family: Bacterial small subunit ribosomal RNA
Source: RNAcentral